This 87-nucleotide transfer RNA is filed under the name Candidatus Microgenomates bacterium. RNAcentral describes it as "tRNA-Ser". It matches the Rfam family "tRNA". From Rfam's summary of the family: Transfer RNA (tRNA) molecules are approximately 80 nucleotides in length. Their secondary structure includes four short double-helical elements and three loops (D, anti-codon, and T loops). The record is from RNAcentral. Lineage: Bacteria; Candidatus Microgenomatota.
GGAGAGCUGCCAGAGUGGUCGAAUGGGCCGCACUCGAAAUGCGGUAAGGGCGUAAGCCUUUCAGAGGUUCGAAUCCUCUGCUCUCCG